GCUCAGCCGUCAACAAAGAUAGUAUAAAAUACAGUGCUAUUCGCCAGAGAACUACAAGCAAAGACUCAAAACUCUAAGGACUUGGCGGUGCUCCACAUCAACCUAGAGGAGCCUGUCCUAUAAUCGAUACCCCACGAUCUACCUCACCGCUUUUUGAAGUUCAGCCUAUAUACCGCCGUCGUCAGCUUACCUUAUGAAAGAAGCAAAGUAGGCAAAAUAGUCACCAACUAAAACGUCAGGUCAAGGUGUAGCACAUAAAGUGGAAGAGAUGGGCUACACUCUCUCCCUCAGAGAACACGAACAGCAUCAAUGAAACCCUGCUCAAAGGUGGAUUUAGCAGUAAGAUAAACAAGAGAACUUAUCUUAAACCAGCCCUGGAGCGCGC
This 385-nucleotide ribosomal RNA is filed under the name Oligosoma polychroma (common New Zealand skink). RNAcentral's name for it is "partial 12S ribosomal RNA". It matches the Rfam family "Bacterial small subunit ribosomal RNA", at positions 794 to 1384 of the family's 1533-position model. Lineage: Eukaryota; Metazoa; Chordata; Lepidosauria; Squamata; Scincidae. The record is from RNAcentral.